This 73-nucleotide transfer RNA is filed under the name Reticulibacter mediterranei. RNAcentral's name for it is "tRNA-Gly". It matches the Rfam family "tRNA". From Rfam's summary of the family: Transfer RNA (tRNA) molecules are approximately 80 nucleotides in length. Their secondary structure includes four short double-helical elements and three loops (D, anti-codon, and T loops). The record is from RNAcentral. Lineage: Bacteria; Bacillati; Chloroflexota; Ktedonobacteria; Ktedonobacterales; Reticulibacteraceae.
GCGGGAGUAACUCAGUGGUAGAGUUCCACUUUCCCAAAGUGGCUGUCGCGGGUUCGAGUCCCGUCUCCCGCUC